Long non-coding RNA from Ochotona curzoniae (black-lipped pika), 107 nucleotides. RefSeq lists it as uncharacterized. The transcript has 3 exons. Lineage: Eukaryota; Metazoa; Chordata; Mammalia; Lagomorpha; Ochotonidae. The record is from RefSeq and is a predicted model, not a curated record.
GUUCUUGUAUUAGACUUCUGCCAUGGUUUCCAUAGCCCCAGCUCCUGGCUCACCACUCUCCACCUCCUGUGAUACUGUGCUGAGGCUGCACUAUUGUCUGUACAACC